Molecule: long non-coding RNA, 688 nt
Filed under: Anas platyrhynchos platyrhynchos (common mallard)
Lineage: Eukaryota; Metazoa; Chordata; Aves; Anseriformes; Anatidae
Description: lncRNA (ENSAPLG00000028449.1)
Source: RNAcentral
GAAAGGACCUGGAAUCUGUGUCUCCUGUCUUCCAGCUGCUUUGGAACUGACCCUUUUGAAGACAUGCUUUCUGGGGCCUGGGGAGCUUCUUAUCCGUGAGAAGUCUCUCAACAGGAUGUAAAAUUUGCACAGAACAGAAAUCCAAAAUGUCUUCUCUCCUCCCACAACCAAUGAGAGGGUAGAAGGACCUCUGACAUCGUGUGGUGAACCUCACUGGGAGGUUGCUGACUUCAGCUGUCUCUGUCUCCUUCCUCCAUGCUCUCUGAAGGAGAAAGCAGAAGAAAAGACGAAGGGACAGACAUCAGAAGAGGAGCAUCGAAGACAAGCUUGAGAGUGCUUUGCUGGAUUUUCAAAGAAUGGCGAGAAUCAGCUGUUGGCAUUUGCCAUAUAAACAUAUGGAGACUUACCAACUCAAGAGAACAUACUAGACAACUGAGAACAGAGCACAUUCCUGAAGAAAAGGGGAUAUGCUAUAUACACCAGGGUGACUGAACUCUCCUGUCUGGAUGGAAGGAUUUCAGCCAGGUCAUUAACAAAACUGCCUUAAAGAAGCUCUUGAUUCUUUAUGGAAGAAGUAAAAGGGGAAACAGUGUUCAGAGCAUACCAGGAAAGUAUCACAAUUGCCUUCCUGGUGCCUGUGCAUUGCAAGAAGAAAUAAACAUAGCAAGGUUAUCUCUGAUAAAGUGCA